This 458-nucleotide ribosomal RNA is filed under the name rape rhizosphere bacterium m9054. RNAcentral describes it as "bacterial SSU rRNA". It matches the Rfam family "Bacterial small subunit ribosomal RNA", at positions 27 to 480 of the family's 1533-position model. The record is from RNAcentral.
GAUUGAACGCUGGCGGCAGGCCUAACACAUGCAAGUCGAGCGGAUGAGAGGAGCUUGCUCCUGGAUUCAGCGGCGGACGGGUGAGUAAUGCCUAGGAAUCUGCCUGGUAGUGGGGGACAACGUUUCGAAAGGAACGCUAAUACCGCAUACGUCCUACGGGAGAAAGCAGGGGACCUUCGGGCCUUGCGCUAUCAGAUGAGCCUAGGUCGGAUUAGCUAGUUGGUGAGGUAAUGGCUCACCAAGGCGACGAUCCGUAACUGGUCUGAGAGGAUGAUCAGUCACACUGGAACUGAGACACGGUCCAGACUCCUACGGGAGGCAGCAGUGGGGAAUAUUGGACAAUGGGCGAAAGCCUGAUCCAGCCAUGCCGCGUGUGUGAAGAAGGUCUUCGGAUUGUAAAGCACUUUAAGUUGGGAGGAAGGGCAGUAACUUAAUACGUUGCUGUUUUGACGUUACCG